CUUGCAUUUUGAGGGUAAUAAAGUUAACUGAAAGACUUCAACUCUCAUGGAUUUUGCCAAGUAUCCAGACUGCAUGGAGGGACUCGGAGACAGAUUCAUGAAAUGCACAAUGGAAUCUAGGACAAGAUCAAACUCCGAUGCCAACCUUAAGGAUAUGCUCCAUAUGCCUCCAGAUGGACCCCAAGAAAAAAACAGGUCAUGUGGUACAUCAAGUAG
Non-coding RNA from Python bivittatus (Burmese python), 216 nucleotides. The record is from RefSeq and is a predicted model, not a curated record. Lineage: Eukaryota; Metazoa; Chordata; Lepidosauria; Squamata; Pythonidae.